This is a long non-coding RNA of Eriocheir sinensis (Chinese mitten crab), 1633 nucleotides long. RefSeq lists it as uncharacterized. Lineage: Eukaryota; Metazoa; Arthropoda; Malacostraca; Decapoda; Varunidae. The transcript is spliced from 4 exons. The record is from RefSeq and is a predicted model, not a curated record.
GCAGCUAUGGAGUAAGGCCACUGAAGAAUGUAUGUAAGAAAAAAAAGAAAAAAAACAUACAAAAUACAAAAUGAUAAAAAGAAAAAAAAAACUCUAAAUCAAAUACAAAAGAUUAGGAUUAAGAUAUAUGAAAAAAAACGAAACCAAAUACAAAAUACGCACAAAAAAAAAAAAUCCAAUACAAAAUGCGAAGGUUAAGGUUAGUGAUAACAUUUCUUUGCGUCAAAAAGGAGCGAUAGUUUUACCUGACGAGGAGUAAAUUUGUAAAAUCGCCACAGUUUUAAAGAAAGUUUCGUUCACGCAUUGCGCAGCCUGGAAAUGACUCCCGGUAAACUUGGUUAAGCUUUAAGUUCCAUCAAAACAAAACAAGAGAGUCAUCGGCCAGUGAGUAUAAGUCCUGAACGACUUGAGAACAGAAAAGAACGGAGACAGUAAUUUCUCUCACAUACCAACUCAAAAAGUCCUUGCGAAAUGGAACGGUCUAUUAGAUUAGAACAUGCAAAACAAAUGCCGUGUGUUUGUCUGUGUGUGUGUGUGUGUGUGUGUGUGUGUGUGUGUGUGUGUGUGUGUGUGUGUGUGUGUGUGUGUGUGUGUGUGUGUGUAAUGUCGUGUGAUAAGUUUCCAUGUUAUGUUGUGUUAUAUGUUUCCAGGUAAUGUCGUGUGAUAUGUUUCCAGGUAAUGUCGUGUGAUAUGUUUCCAAGUAAUGCUGUGAUAUGUUCCAGGUAAUGUCGUGUGAUAUGUUUCCAGGUAAUGUUGUGUGAUAUGUUUCCAGGUAAUGUUGUGUGAUAUGUUUCCAGGUAAUGUUGUGUGAUAUGUUUCCAGGUAAUGUUGUGUGAUAUGUUUCCAGGUAAUGUUGUGUGAUAUGUUUCCAGGUAAUGUUGUGUGAUAUGUUUCCAGGUAAUGCUGUGUGAUAUGUUUCCAGGUAAUGUAGUGUGUUUCCAAGUAAUGCUGUGAUAUGUUUCCAGGUAAUGUCGUGUGAUAUGUUUCCAGGUAAUGUUGUGUUAUAUGUUUCCAGGUAAUGUUGUGUGAUAUGUUUCCAGGUAAUGUCGUGUGAUAUGUUUCCAGGUAAUGUAGUGUGUUUCCAAGUAAUGCUGUGAUAUGUUUCCAGGUAAUGUCGUGUGAUAUGUUUCCAGGUAAUGUUGUGUGAUAUGUUUCCUGGUAAUGUUAAGUGAUAUGUUUCCAGGUAAUGUCGUGUGAUAUGUUUCCAGGUAAUGUAGUGUGUUUCCAAGUAAUGCUGUGAUAUGUUUCCAGGUAAUGUUGUGUGAUAUGUUCCAGGUAAUGUCGUGUGAUAUGUUUCCAGGUAAUGUUGUGUGAUAUGUUUCCUGGUAAUGUUAAGUGAUAUGUUUCCAGGUAAUGCUGUGUGAUAUGUUUCCAGGUAAUGUAGUGUGUUUCCAAGUAAUGCUGUGAUAUGUUUCCAGGUAAUGUCGUGUGAUAUGUUUCCAGGUAAUGUUGUGUGAUAUGUUUCAAGGUAAUGUUGUGUGAUAUGUUUCCAGGUAAUGUUGUGUGAUAUGUUUCCAGGUUAUGUUGUGUGAUAUGUUUCCAGGUAAUGUUGUGUGAUAUGUUUCCAGGUAAUGUUGUGUGAUAUGUUUCCAGGUUAUGUCGUGUGAUAUGUUUCCAGGUAAUGUUGUGUGAU